This 433-nucleotide ribosomal RNA is filed under the name uncultured bacterium. RNAcentral's name for it is "partial 16S ribosomal RNA". It matches the Rfam family "Bacterial small subunit ribosomal RNA", at positions 29 to 507 of the family's 1533-position model. The record is from RNAcentral.
AGCGAACGCUGGCGGCAGGCUUAACACAUGCAAGUCGAGCGGGCACUUCGGUGUCAGCGGCAGACGGGUGAGUAGCACGUGGGAACGUACCCUUCGGUUCGGAAUAACGCUGGGAAACUAGCGCUAAUACCGGAUACGCCCUUUUGGGGAAAGGUUUACUGCCGAAGGAUCGGCCCGCGUCUGAUUAGCUAGUUGGUGGGGUAAUGGCCUACCAAGGCGACGAUCAGUAGCUGGUCUGAGAGGAUGAUCAGCCACACUGGGACUGAGACACGGCCCAGACUCCUACGGGAGGCAGCAGUGGGGAAUAUUGGACAAUGGGCGCAAGCCUGAUCCAGCCAUGCCGCGUGAGUGAUGAAGGCCUUAGGGUUGUAAAGCUCUUUUGUCCGGGACGAUAAUGACGGUACCGGAAGAAUAAGCCCCGGCUAACUUCGUG